Molecule: ribosomal RNA, 514 nt
Filed under: uncultured Neisseriales bacterium
Lineage: Bacteria; Pseudomonadati; Pseudomonadota; Betaproteobacteria; Neisseriales
Description: SSU rRNA
Rfam family: Bacterial small subunit ribosomal RNA
Source: RNAcentral
UUGGGUGGCGAGUGGCGAACGGGUGAGUAAUAUAUCGGAACGUACCGAGUAAUGGGGGAUAACUAAUCGAAAGAUUAGCUAAUACCGCAUAUUCUCUGAGGAGGAAAGCAGGGGACCUUCGGGCCUUGCGUUAUUCGAGCGGCCGAUAUCUGAUUAGCUAGUUGGUGGGGUAAAGGCCUACCAAGGCGACGAUCAGUAGCGGGUCUGAGAGGAUGAUCCGCCACACUGGGACUGAGACACGGCCCAGACUCCUACGGGAGGCAGCAGUGGGGAAUUUUGGACAAUGGGCGCAAGCCUGAUCCAGCCAUGCCGCGCGUCUGAAGAAGGCCUUCGGGUUGUAAAGGACUUUUGUCAGGGAAGAAAAGGCUGUUGCUAAUAUCGACAGCUGAUGACGGUACCUGAAGAAUAAGCACCGGCUAACUACGUGCCAGCAGCCGCGGUAAUACGUAGGGUGCGGGCGUUAAUCGGAAUUACUGGGCGUAAAGCGAGCGCAGACGGUUACUUAAGCAGGAUG